AAGUCGUAACAAGGUCUCCGUUGGUGAACCAGCGGAGGGAUCAUUACAGAGUUAUCCAACUCCCAAACCCAUGUGAACUUAUCUCUUUGUUGCCUCGGCGCAAGCUACCCGGGACCUCGCGCCCCGGGCGGCCCGCCGGCGGACAAACCAAAACUCUUUAUGUAUACCCCCUCGCGGGUUUUUUUACUUCUGAGACUUUCUCGGCGCCCCUAGCGGGCGUUUCGAAAAUGAAUCAAAACUUUCAACAACGGAUCUCUUGGUUCUG
RNAcentral lists this unclassified non-coding RNA (265 nucleotides) under Trichoderma sp. RNAcentral's name for it is "partial internal transcribed spacer region". The stretch from base 1 to 46 matches the Rfam family "Eukaryotic small subunit ribosomal RNA", at positions 1786 to 1831 of the family's 1831-position model. Lineage: Eukaryota; Fungi; Ascomycota; Sordariomycetes; Hypocreales; Hypocreaceae. The record is from RNAcentral.